CAAAAUAGUUUUCUCGAGGACCCAUCUUCUUGAUUUCCUCCAAAUCACUCACUCACUGUUCAUCAAUUGAUUCUGUUUUCCUUGAACCCCCUCGAGAAAUGGUUGGUCUGCUCAAUUUUUACUAGUUCUUGCCAUGGGGGAUGAGUUAACUUAGCGUAUUCAAACAAAGCCAUCAUGGGUUUCAUUUGAUUCUUCUUCUCUCUCUCUUUAACUAUACCCCUUUUUUCAUAUUUGUUGUUGGAUCUCUUGAAACAUGUGAUUUAGUGGUUGAGUAAGCCCUGAGGGCAAUACAACACCUGUUCCUAACCUUGUUUCUCGAUUUCCUUCUAUCAGCUGGCUUUGUCUUUUCAGUCAAAACCAAUUUGAUUUAUAUGAAAUCUAAUUGAGAUCUACACUUACUGUAGGGAAUUUUAUCAGUUUUUAUUGUAGUAAAGUUGAAAUGUUUAUAUAUGUUGACCAGUCGAUCCUCAAAUAGGUUCAAUAGUGAAGAAUUUGGAGUCUCUUAUUGUAGUUCCAUCUGGGAACCCAGUUCUGCUAUAGGAAAUAGAAAGAUAGGGGCUAACCAGUGAAAUCAAGUUUCAAAUAGCCAUAAAGUAAUGUGAGUUCCAUGGGGAAGGAUGUGGUGGAUAGAAAAUCGUUUGUUUUGCAUAAGUCUGCUGGAAAUGAAAGACAGGUUAAGUUAAUUUUUGGAAGACUGUUCUCUCUCCCAUCUCUCUCCUCUCUCCUCCCCUCCCCUGUCCCUUCACCUUUCUCCCCGGCAAUUUCUCUGACCGAUAGAGCAGUCCAUCUUUCACCUCUCCUCUUGUGAUUUUCAACUUGCAGGGACCAAUGGAAGUGGUAAGCAGCAAAGUGGUUAAUUCCUACUACUGCAUCUGGUUUGAAGACAAAAGUGGUAUACAACAUCGAGGAUGUAGAUUUCAACAAAAUCCUCAAGUCAUGAAGCAUCAGUUAUGAUGGUUCAUUGAAUCCAUCAACAAACCGAUUCAGGGUUAAAAUAACAGAUUUUUUCUUAGAAUUGGCAAAGAUGAGAGUGGAGCCACGAGAUUGACGAAAUUUUGUGCAUCUUCAGGAUGCGUUUUAAGGUGUGUCAUGAGGCCAACCUCUCGUUACCAAUCUUACAUUCAUGUUUUCUCCCGGGAAGACAAGCAGGGUGUUAGGCCUCCAAUCAUUCACAAAUAUAAAAGGAGCAGAAAGGUCAUUUAACUGAUGGGAUAAUGAUUGGGGAAAAGAUCUUGACAGGUGGGGCCCACGGGUAGAGGAGAGAUAUAAAUAGAAUAUUAUGGGGAUUGCUGCAGGUAGGGUUUAUUUUGUGUAAAAAGCUGCUGAAGCUUAGGGGAGAGUUUCCAAUCCUCUAUAAGGUGCUGGAUGGAAGAGAGAUUAGAGGGGACAAAAAAGGAAAAUCUGGGCCUGAAAGAGAUAAUGCUCGAACUUAAGAAGGUUGUCGACAAAAUGGCAGAAGACAUGCGAGAAAGCAACACCCAUAAGCGCAAGGACGAAUCGUGCACAUCUGAUGGGUUAGUAU
Long non-coding RNA from Cucumis melo (muskmelon), 1522 nucleotides. RefSeq lists it as uncharacterized. The record is from RefSeq and is a predicted model, not a curated record. Lineage: Eukaryota; Viridiplantae; Streptophyta; Magnoliopsida; Cucurbitales; Cucurbitaceae. The transcript has 2 exons.